CGGCGAGUGAAGCGGCAACAGCUCAAAUUUGAAAUCUGGCCCUAGCGGUCCGAAUUGUAAUUUGUAGAGGAUGCUUUUGGUGCGGUGCCUUCCGAGUUCCCUGGAACGGGACGCCAGAGAGGGUGAGAGCCCCGUACGGUUGGACACCUACCCUAUAUAUAGCUCCUUCGACGAGUCGAGUAGUUUGGGAAUGCUGCUCUAAAUGGGAGGUAAAUUUCUUCUAAAGCUAAAUACCGGCCAGAGACCGAUAGCGCACAAGUAGAGUGAUCGAAAGAUGAAAAGCACUUUGAAAAGAGGGUUAAAUAGCACGUGAAAUUGUUGAAAGGGAAGCGUUUACGACCAGACCUCUUCCAGGCGGAUCAUCCGGUGUUCUCACCGGUGCACUUCGUCUGGUUUAGGCCAGCAUCGGUUUUCGUAGGGGGAUAAAGACCUGGGGAACGUAUCUCCUUCGGGAGUGUUAUAGCCCCUCGUGUAAUACCUCUACGGGGACCGAGGACCGCGCACUGCAAGGAUGCUGGCGUAAUGGUCGUCAACGACCCGUCUUGAAACACGGACCAAGGAGUCGAACAUUUGUGCGAGUGUUUGGGUAUUAAACCCUCACGCGUAAUGAAAGUGAACGGAGGUGAGAGCCCUUCGGGGUGCAUCAUCGACCGAUCCUGAUGUCUUCGGAUGGAUUUGAGUAAGAGCAUAACUGUUCGGACCCGAAAGAUGGUGAACUAUGCGUGGAUAGGGUGAAGCCAGAGGAAACUCUGGUGGAGGCUCGCAGCGGUUCUGACGUGCAAAUCGAUCGUCAAAUCUGCGCAUGGGGGCGAAAGUAUGUAUUAUCCCGGGGUGUAUACCCUAUAAUUCUCCCCUGGAGACAAUAAACAGUAUGCUAACAACAACUUCUUUAGGACUUAUCGAACCAUCUAGUAGCUGGUUACCGCCGAAGUUUCCCUCAGGAUAGCAGUGUUGUGUUCAGUUUUAUGAGGUAAAGCGAAUGAUUAGGGACUCGGGGGCGCUUUAUUGCCUUCAUCCAUUCUCAAACUUUAAAUAUGUAAGAAGCCCUUGUUACUUAAUUGAACGUGGGCAUUCGAAUGUAUCAACACUAGUGGGCCAUUUUUGGUAAGCAGAACUGGCGAUGCGGGAUGAACCGAACGUGGGGUUAAGGUGCCAGAGUGGACGCUCAUCAGACACCACAAAAGGUGUUAGUACAUCUAGACAGUUGGUAUGUACUAAUCUUUUCUUUUACCCCCUGACGGUCCUGAGGGUUUUGAGGGGAUGGUCAGAUGCAAACUCUUAAAGGCAAUAGUCGCUAUAAGUUUAAAAGCUGGGGGAUGAUUAUAGCUUGUUGUCGAAGAGUUUGCAUCGUGCCUUUAGGCACCUUGUGGCCUGAACUGAAGGAUCAAUGGACCUAAAGGUCUCUGUAUUUUAACGAAACAAAUCACUAAUAACUUAAAUAGGACGGUGGCCAUGGAAGUCGGAAUCCGCUAAGGACUGUGUAACAACUCACCAACCGAAUGUACUAGCCCUGAAAAUGGAUGGCGCUCAAGCGUCUCACCCAUACCUCACCCUUAGGGUAGAAACGAUGCCCUAAGGAGUAGGCGGCCGUAGGGGUCAG
Molecule: ribosomal RNA, 1600 nt
Filed under: Hypoxylon rubiginosum
Lineage: Eukaryota; Fungi; Ascomycota; Sordariomycetes; Xylariales; Hypoxylaceae
Description: partial large subunit ribosomal RNA
Rfam family: Eukaryotic large subunit ribosomal RNA
Source: RNAcentral